CAUGGCAAAACUCCAAUCACUCUGAUUCUCACAAUAGCAACAGCAAUAGCAAUAGCAACAAGCAAUGGCAUCAGAUUCCGAGACGCAGUAGACAAGCCAGCCAAGUGCCAAAACAUCUUGAAUUCUCAGAGGAGGAGGAAGAAAGAAUCGGAUCAGGCAGGGCGUAGAAACCCUAGCGCCUCGGGUUCCCAAAUCGAAUCAAAAACGGGGGAAACCCUAGAAUCGGGAAUAGGGGCGACAAGACAACAGCGCGCAGGACGAAGACGAUGGAGGAUGGACGCCGAGCGAGGAAGAAGAGAGCGAAGUGCGAACAGGGGGUUGAGAAGAA
Arachis ipaensis is the source of this 328-nucleotide non-coding RNA. NCBI's taxonomy places the organism in Eukaryota, Viridiplantae, Streptophyta, Magnoliopsida, Fabales, Fabaceae. The record is from RefSeq and is a predicted model, not a curated record.